Molecule: ribosomal RNA, 253 nt
Filed under: uncultured bacterium
Lineage: Bacteria
Description: partial 16S ribosomal RNA
Rfam family: Bacterial small subunit ribosomal RNA
Source: RNAcentral
UACGUAGGGUGCGAGCGUUAAUCGGAAUUACUGGGCGUAAAGCGUGCGCAGGCGGUUUUGUAAGUCAGAUGUGAAAUCCCCGGGCUUAACCUGGGAACUGCAUUUGGGACUGCAAGGCUUGAGUGCGGCAGAGGAGACUGGAAUUCCUGGUGUAGCAGUGAAAUGCGUAGAUAUCAGGAGGAAUACCGAUGGCGAAGGCAGGUCUCUGGGCUGACACUGACGCUCAUGCACGAAAGCGUGGGGAGCAAACAGG